CCUACGGGAUGCAGCAGUGAGGAAUAUUGGUCAAUGGACGAGAGUCUGAACCAGCCAAGUAGCGUGAAGGAUGACUGCCCUAUGGGUUGUAAACUUCUUUUAUAUGGGAAUAAAACGUUCCACGUGUGGGAUUUUGUAUGUACCAUAUGAAUAAGGAUCGGCUAACUCCGUGCCAGCAGCCGCGGUAAUACGGAGGAUCCGAGCGUUAUCCGGAUUUAUUGGGUUUAAAGGGAGCGUAGGUGGAUUGUUAAGUCAGUUGUGAAAGUUUGCGGCUCAACCGUAAAAUUGCAGUUGAAACUGGCAGUCUUGAGUACAGUAGAGGUGGGCGGAAUGCGUGGUGUAGCGGUGAAAUGCUUAGAUAUCACGAAGAACUCCGAUUGCGAAGGCAGUUCACUGGACUGCAACUGACACUGAGGCUCGAAAGUGUGGGUAUCAAACAGGAUUAGAUACCCUUGUAGUC
RNAcentral lists this ribosomal RNA (460 nucleotides) under uncultured bacterium. RNAcentral describes it as "partial 16S ribosomal RNA". It matches the Rfam family "Bacterial small subunit ribosomal RNA", at positions 338 to 795 of the family's 1533-position model. The record is from RNAcentral.